This 328-nucleotide ribosomal RNA is filed under the name uncultured Caulobacter sp. RNAcentral describes it as "bacterial SSU rRNA". It matches the Rfam family "Bacterial small subunit ribosomal RNA", at positions 8 to 352 of the family's 1533-position model. Lineage: Bacteria; Pseudomonadati; Pseudomonadota; Alphaproteobacteria; Caulobacterales; Caulobacteraceae. The record is from RNAcentral.
AGAGUUUGAUCCUGGCUCAGGACGAACGCUGGCGGCGUGCUUAACACAUGCAAGUCGAACGAUGAUCCGGUGCUUGCACCGGGGAUUAGUGGCGGACGGGUGAGUAACACGUGGGAACGUGCCCUUUGGUUCGGAACAACUCAGGGAAACUUGAGCUAAUACCGGAUGAGCCCUUCGGGGGAAAGAUUUAUCGCCAUUGGAGCGGCCCGCGUCUGAUUAGCUAGUUGGUGAGGUAAAGGCUCACCAAGGCGACGAUCAGUAGCUGGUCUGAGAGGAUGAUCAGCCACACUGGGACUGAGACACGGCCCAGACUCCUACGGGAGGCAGC